CAAAGGUUUGGUCCUGACUUUUCUGUCAACUCUAACUAAACUUACACAUGCAAGUAUCCGCACCCCCGUGAGGAUGCCCUACAGUUUUCUUCUCGAAAACAAGGAGCUGGUAUCAGGCACAACCCACAUUAAGCCCACGACACCUUGCGUAGCCACACCCCCAAGGGUAUUCAGCAGUGAUAAACAUUAAGCCAUAAGUGAAAACUUGACUCAGUUACAGUUAAUAGAGCCGGUAAAACUCGUGCCAGCCACCGCGGUUAUACGAGAGACUCAAGUUGACAGACCACGGCGUAAAGAGUGGUUAAGAUUACAAAAAAAUAAAGUCGAACGCUUUCAAAGCUGUUAUACGCAUUCGAAAGUAAGAAGCUCAUUCACGAAGGUAACUUUACACAAAUCUGACUCCACGAAACAAACUGGGAUUAGAUACCCCAGAUACCCCACUAUGCUUAGCCCUAAACAUUAAUAGCACCCUACACCAGCUAUUCGCCAGGGAACUACGAGCCCCAGCUUAAAACCCAAAGGACUUGGCGGUGCUUUAAACCCCCCUAGAGGAGCCUGUUCUAUAAUCGAUAAUCCCCGUUCAACCUCACCUUCUUUUGUUUAACCCGCCUAUAUACCGCCGUCGUCAGCUUACCCUUUGAAGGUUUAAUAGUAAGCAUAAUUGGCUUAGCCCUAAACGUCAGGUCAAGGUGUAGCGCAUGAGAAGGAAAGAAAUGGGCUACAUUCACUUCCUAAGUGAACACGAAUGAUAAAUUGAAACAUUUAUCUGAAGGAGGAUUUAGUAGUAAGUAGAAAAUAGAGUGUUCUACUGAAACCGGCCCUAAAGCGCGCACAUACCGCCCGUCACUCUCCCCAAGGCCCCCCCCAUAAACCCCCCUUUCCCCUCACCUAAACCCUUUAACUAAAUACAAAACCUACUACACGGGGAGACAAGUCGUAACAUGGUAAGUGUACCGGAAGGUGUACUUGGGACAAC
RNAcentral lists this non-coding RNA (976 nucleotides) under Macrognathus pancalus (barred spiny eel). Its description in RNAcentral is "12S ribosomal RNA". It matches the Rfam family "Bacterial small subunit ribosomal RNA". The record is from RNAcentral. Lineage: Eukaryota; Metazoa; Chordata; Actinopteri; Synbranchiformes; Mastacembelidae.